Microtus ochrogaster (prairie vole) is the source of this 885-nucleotide long non-coding RNA. RefSeq lists it as uncharacterized. The transcript has 4 exons. The record is from RefSeq and is a predicted model, not a curated record. Lineage: Eukaryota; Metazoa; Chordata; Mammalia; Rodentia; Cricetidae.
GCAGUACCUGGGGGCGGGUGGGCACGUGACCAUGCCAGACCAAAGCGUUCCAUCUAUCUGGAUUCACCUUUCCCUGGACAGAGCAUCCCAAAGUCCGUAAGAACUAUGCUUGAAUUAAAAAUGAAAACAAGUAAACAAUGAGAAGGAAUUCGAUUCUUGAUCUGCCAGUGGCUUUGUAUCUUGUGCUGGACCGAUGAGCAGGAACGAUUCUGCUCCAAGAAUACCCCCGGCAGGAGAGAAGUACACUGUCUCACAAGCUUGGCUUCCAUCUGAAGAGCCGUUUGAAGAGAUUCCUGACUCCUUUAGGCAGCCAUGGCAGCGCCUGCAAACUGAGGAGGGCUAUGCUGUCCUGCAUUUGAGAUCAGCCUAGGCUCCACUCAGAGUCCUUGUCCCAAAGAAAAUACACACAAACAGUCUCCAAAACAGACAAAUGAACCAACGAAAUCACAAGUAAGGUUGACAGCUCAGAGAAGAUAAGUACAAAGAGAUAACAUUUAUAAAGGGACUGAUAAGAGGAAGGAAGAGAAAGGAGAAAAAUGGAAGAAGAAGGAAAUAAUUAAAAAAUUCCAAGAGACUCUCCAAAGAGUCCAGGCUAUUGUCAUUGCUUGUGGUUGCUUCCCCAAACUUGAAGGGCACGAUAAGCAGCCCCUCUUGACAUGCUGAGGAUUAAGGAGCAGGCUGUGAAGACAGAAUCCAGAGAAGACCCGUAUUAGCUGAUGGCUGUAUUCGAGACUGAAAUCGUCAGACCCGGGGUAACAAUGAAUGGAGGCUGGAUGUGAGAGGAAAUAAUCAUCAGUGUACAUACUCACACAUGUCAUUCAGAAUAGCUGUGAUAUUCACCACGGCCCUCAAAAGAAAAUAAAAAAAAGAAGAAAGAAAAUAAAA